Molecule: ribosomal RNA, 503 nt
Filed under: uncultured bacterium
Lineage: Bacteria
Description: partial 16S ribosomal RNA
Rfam family: Bacterial small subunit ribosomal RNA
Source: RNAcentral
AUUGAACGCUGGCGGCAGGCUUAACACAUGCAAGUCGAGCGGGGUGAUGGUGCUUGCACUAUCACUUAGCGGCGGACGGGUGAGUAAUGCUUAGGAAUCUGCCUAUUAGUGGGGGACAACAUCUCGAAAGGGAUGCUAAUACCGCAUACGUCCUACGGGAGAAAGCAGGGGAUCACUUGUGACCUUGCGCUAAUAGAUGAGCCUAAGUCGGAUGAGCUCGUUGGUGGGGUAAAGGCCUACCAAGGCGACGAUCUGUAGCGGGUCUGAGAGGAUGAUCCGCCACACUGGGACUGAGACACGGCCCAGACUCCUACGGGAGGCAGCAGUGGGGAAUAUUGGACAAUGGGGGGAACCCUGAUCCAGCCAUGCCGCGUGUGUGAAGAAGGCCUUAUGGUUGUAAAGCACUUUAAGCGAGGAGGAGGCUCUUUUGGUUAAUACCCAAGAUGAGUGGACGUUACUCGCAGAAUAAGCACCGGCUAACUCUGUGCCAGCCGCCGCCGUAA